GCCGCCGGAGUUAACUGUUCCAUAGUAAAGGUGGCAGCGGCCGCCAGCCAAUCACGGCUCGCGGACCGGCUGCAGCACCAAUCAGAAGAAGAUGAGGCUUUUUUUUAAAUCUGGCGUGAGCCAAUCACGGCUCGCAGACCGCCAGCCAAUGAGAAGCUGCCAAGUGGCAGCUUCUCAUUAGCUGGCGGUCCAGGAGCCGUGAAUGACGCACAGCCGGCGCCAGGUUCAAAGUGCCGUCUCUCCCCCCCUCCGCCGCUGCCACAGCCGCCAGAGUGUGACUGAGCCGCGGGUUGUAACGCCCGAUCCCACCCCCCCACCCCCCGCAGCCGCCGGAGUUAACUGUUAACUGACGCUGAGCAGCGGCCAGUAAUGCCCAUGCCCACUCCCCAUCUCCCUGCCAGCGCAGCAGCUUAAAUUCCACCCUACCCCUAAGCUUAGUGACCCGCGGCCUGUAAUGCCCUCCCCACCUCCACCGGAGCACUGUCUGCAAGUGAAUGAUGGUCCGAGGCCCUAUCCUAACCGUGGCACACCCCUGGGCGUCUGGCAGGAGAGUCAACUCGCCCUCCACAUGAAGACCUCCAGCUGAUCGUAGAUGGCAAACUGGAUGCCUUAUCGUAAAAUAUCGUAAGAUGUAACAGUUCACGUCGGGAUGCCGUUAAGAUGCUGACUGUUGGGAUCGCGGCAAUCAGAAUGCCAACAGUCAUCAGAAUACAGACACCGUAAGUAU
Long non-coding RNA from Pseudophryne corroboree (corroboree frog), 727 nucleotides. RefSeq lists it as uncharacterized. The record is from RefSeq and is a predicted model, not a curated record. The transcript has 3 exons. Lineage: Eukaryota; Metazoa; Chordata; Amphibia; Anura; Myobatrachidae.